AUAAAUGGCAAUACUCAGUAUGCCAUGGCUGCCUAAUCAGUGAUUAAGUAGUCAUUAGGGCCGCCGGGCCGGUUUUCCUGUUACCAUGCCCCGCCGCCGACUUAAAACAAAACAGGAUGCUGCAACCAAAGGCUGUGCUGGUUGCUUAAGAACAUCCAGCUAAGGAAUUAAUCGGUUGCCCGUUUCCAGUUGAUUCCCGACAUAACAAAACAGGAUAAACAUGUAGAAAGCUUUCGGCGAAUAUGUUUGGACACCGGUUCGACUCCGGUCGCCUCCACAA
This 280-nucleotide transfer-messenger RNA is filed under the name Chitinophagaceae bacterium. RNAcentral describes it as "partial transfer-messenger RNA". It matches the Rfam family "transfer-messenger RNA", at positions 87 to 374 of the family's 374-position model. Rfam says of the family: Bacterial tmRNA, also known as 10Sa RNA or SsrA, is named for its dual tRNA and mRNA-like properties. Its role is to liberate the mRNA from a stalled ribosome. Lineage: Bacteria; Pseudomonadati; Bacteroidota; Chitinophagia; Chitinophagales; Chitinophagaceae. The record is from RNAcentral.